UACGUAGGGGGCAAGCGUUGUCCGGAAUCAUUGGGCGUAAAGCGCGUGUAGGCGGUUCGGUAAGUCUGCUGUGAAAGUCAAAGGCUCAACCUUUGAAUGUCAGCGGAUACUGCCGGGCUAGAGUCCGGAAGAGGCGAGUGGAACUCCUGGUGUAGCGGUGGAAUGCGCAGAUAUCAGGAAGAACACCAACGGCGAAGGCAGCUCGCUGGGACGGAACUGACGCUGAGGAGCGAAAGCGUGGGUAGCAAACAGG
Molecule: ribosomal RNA, 253 nt
Filed under: uncultured bacterium
Lineage: Bacteria
Description: partial 16S ribosomal RNA
Rfam family: Bacterial small subunit ribosomal RNA
Source: RNAcentral